This 18-nucleotide ribosomal RNA is filed under the name Jurinea microcephala. RNAcentral describes it as "partial 26S ribosomal RNA". Lineage: Eukaryota; Viridiplantae; Streptophyta; Magnoliopsida; Asterales; Asteraceae. The record is from RNAcentral.
CCGCAACCCCAGGUCAGG